GUGCUCACUUUGGCAGCAUGCAUACUAAAAUUAGAGUGAUACAGAGAAGAUUAGCAUGGCACAAGGAUGGCAUAUAAAUUCUUGAAGCAUUCCAUAUUUAA
Ailuropoda melanoleuca (giant panda) is the source of this 101-nucleotide small nuclear RNA. The record is from Ensembl. Lineage: Eukaryota; Metazoa; Chordata; Mammalia; Carnivora; Ursidae.